This 71-nucleotide transfer RNA is filed under the name Strigocuscus celebensis (little Celebes cuscus). RNAcentral's name for it is "tRNA-Gln". It matches the Rfam family "tRNA". Rfam says of the family: Transfer RNA (tRNA) molecules are approximately 80 nucleotides in length. Lineage: Eukaryota; Metazoa; Chordata; Mammalia; Diprotodontia; Phalangeridae. The record is from RNAcentral.
UAGGAUGUGGUGUAAUGGGAACACGGAGAGUUUUGAGUUCUUAGAUAUGGGUUCGAGUCCUAUUGUUCUAG